Trifolium pratense (red clover) is the source of this 1999-nucleotide long non-coding RNA. RefSeq lists it as uncharacterized. The transcript is spliced from 2 exons. The record is from RefSeq and is a predicted model, not a curated record. Lineage: Eukaryota; Viridiplantae; Streptophyta; Magnoliopsida; Fabales; Fabaceae.
AUCGUUUCUAUUCAUGUUUGUUUUUGACUCCCUAGAGAAUCAGUAGUCCAGUUUGAUUCACAGCGUUUUUUUAAUCAAAGGAAUUACCGUCGAGGGCGUAUCAAAUCCCUCUUUCUUCCUCUACGGUAUUUCUUUGAUUAAAGAAAUUCUUUGGAUCAUCAAAUAUUUUUGUAGUAUAUUUAUAUUGUUCCAUAUUCUAUUCAGAUUAUGUCUUUCCCUGUUUUUUUUUUUGUUCUUGCAAUAAACUCAUUUGUACUUUGGAUAGCAACUGAGCUGAGGUAUUUUAAGGUGAAAGGAAAGAGUAGUGCUGCAUUUAAAUUCGUAUACUUUAUUUAAAGAAUAAAGUUGGAAUCAGUGGUAGUAGAUACCUCAUAAUUUUUUGUUCUAUUUUGCUCAUAUUAUAAAUGAAACAUAAUAAUAUACGACUAAAUGAUGUCUUAAAAAGAUUCAUGUUCGCAUGUGAGCUUAGCUCAGUGAUAUUGCACUAUAUGUGCAGGAGUUGGGUUGGAACUCUGGACACUCCAAAAAAAUCUAAGGUGAAAUUUCUGGUCACCGACCACAAGAAUCCUAUCUAUCCCCAAUGAGUGUUGGCCGCUAACACACCCCUCAUGCUUCAGCCUGGCCCAAUGGGCCUGAAAUGUGGACGAUGUAAGGAAGCCCAACGAUAAUAGACUCAUGAAUAUCGAGGUGUAACUCAUACUUACGAUACUGACUUGUAAGAUGAGGAUUGCCUCCUCUUUAUAAUGGCCACUAACAUGAAGAAAAAGAAAAAAAAGAUGACAUAUACAUUCCUUCACUGGUAUUUUUAGCAUUCAAAUGAUGUUCAAUAUUCAUAAUACUUGCUUAUGAAGGUGGAUGUUGCAAUUGAAAUGUGAAAUUAAAAUUGGUUUUUUCUCCCCUUCCUCUUUGUUUUCGUUUCCUCCUAUAAUGUUGUGUUGAAAUUAUCCUAGUCAUCGAUGCCAAGGACGACACAGCUUGGGGUUGAUUGAUGCUUCAGUGAAGUUCAUUUGUCUCUUCAGGAACUGUUGUUUUGGUUGCUGGUUGACUACGGGAAGAAGACGGUGAGGGAAUUACACUGUUCACAUUUGUUGGAAUCAAGCUCAAUUUUUUCAGUCUGUUUAUGAACUCGCCACUUGGGUUCAGGGAAUCCAUUUUCUGUUUCUCUAUAUUGAUGAUGAAAAAGCUAGUAGUAGUUGUUGAAUUUAGUGACUCAACUAAAACUUGUUUCUUCAUUUUAUUUGAUAAAAGAUGAAUGUUUGAUUGCAAUGAUCAAUUCAAGAUAGAAAAAUUGUCAGCCACCUGAAAAAUGAAUGUUAUGCUUUAUUUGCAGUUGAAUUGGAUGAAAAAGUUUGCUGCAUUAUUGUAUGUUUGUGUCUGAUGUAGGGUGUUGCAUAAAUGGCGAGGUUGUGGUAAUUCAUACAUAUCGAAGACAGUGGAAUUACAGCUGCGGAGAAUCAAAAUAUAGCAGUAAUAAUGUACUGAAAAAUGGAACCACUCUGCUGCUAUUGUUUCUGAGUUGGAGUGAAGUGAUACUGCUAAACCAUUUUUAAGGAUAGGGAUGUUAGUUUGCCCAAGAAUUAUUUCUGUGGUAUCAUGAAUUCUAUUUCAUAUAUCCGAGUGAUUAGGUUUUUGGUUACUGAGAGGAUAAUGUAAGAGGUGCUGGUGUCAAUGUAACGGCUCCCUGCUCGUAACGCGGUUAUAUUGUUGCAGGCCUCGGUUCUCAUUGUUAUGUGCCUGGUUUUUUGUUCUGGUGUUUUAAGUCCGGGUUCUGCGACUUUUGGGAUUAGGGGUUCUUGGUCUUGGUUGUGUUGGUAUUUUGUUUGGCCUUAGUUUUUUGUGUGCUGUAUCUGUCGAGCCUUGAUUUUAUUAUUUGACGUCUUUUGUAUAGUUUGUGUUGGUGUUCUGUUUCCUGCUAUGACAGGAGCUGUUGCUGUUUUCUUCUUUCCUCCUUGCCACUUCUUGUGCAUAGGAUGGAUAUAUUAAUAAAUAAAUUUAUUUA